Psammomys obesus (fat sand rat) is the source of this 103-nucleotide small nuclear RNA. The record is from RefSeq and is a predicted model, not a curated record. NCBI's taxonomy places the organism in Eukaryota, Metazoa, Chordata, Mammalia, Rodentia, Muridae.
GUGCUCACAUCGGCAGCACAUUAAAAUUAGACCUUUACAUAGAAGAUUACCAUGGCCCCUGCACGAGGAUGACACGCAAAUUCGUGAAGCACUCCAUAUUUUU